RNAcentral lists this microRNA precursor (91 nucleotides) under Cavia porcellus (domestic guinea pig). RNAcentral's name for it is "microRNA 374a (ENSCPOG00000017459.2)". The stretch from base 11 to 81 matches the Rfam family "mir-374 microRNA precursor family". The record is from RNAcentral. Lineage: Eukaryota; Metazoa; Chordata; Mammalia; Rodentia; Caviidae.
AAGAUAUUUUACAUAGGCCUUUAUAAUACAACCUGAUAAGUGUUAUAACACUUACCAGAUUGUAUUGUAAUUGUCUGUGUAUAUAUCUGUC